This 372-nucleotide unclassified non-coding RNA is filed under the name Mortierella sp. Its description in RNAcentral is "partial contains 5.8S ribosomal RNA, internal transcribed spacer 2, and large subunit ribosomal RNA". The stretch from base 1 to 71 matches the Rfam family "5.8S ribosomal RNA", at positions 84 to 154 of the family's 154-position model. RNAcentral also lists the same sequence under 1 other name. Lineage: Eukaryota; Fungi; Mortierellomycota; Mortierellomycetes; Mortierellales; Mortierellaceae. The record is from RNAcentral.
GUGAGUCAUCGAAUCUUUGAACGCAUAUUGCGCUCUUUGGUAUUCCGAAGAGCAUGCUUGUUUGAGUAUCAGUAAACACCUCAACCUCCUCUUGUUUUUUCAAAAGGAGGGUGGACUUGAGCUAUCCCAACAACCUUCACCGGUAGGCGGGCGGCUUGAAAUGCAGGUGCAGCUGGACUUUUAUCUGAGCUAAAAGCAUAUCUAUUUAGUCCUCGUCAAACAGGAUUAUUACUAUUGCUGCAGCUAACAUAAAGGAUAAUUGUCCUCAUUGCUGACUGAUGCAGGAUUUUACGACACUUUAUGUGUUGUUCAACUCGAUCUCAAAUCAAGUAAGACUACCCGCUGAACUUAAGCAUAUCAAUAAGCGGAGGA